CUUUUGUAUAAUGGGUCAGCGACUUAUAUUCUGUAGCAAGGUUAACCGUAUAGGGGAGCCGAAGGGAAACCGAGUCUUAACUGGGCGUUAAGUUGCAGGGUAUAGACCCGAAACCCGGUGAUCUAGCCAUGGGCAGGUUGAAGGUUGGGUAACACUAACUGGAGGACCGAACCGACUAAUGUUGAAAAAUUAGCGGAUGACUUGUGGCUGGGGGUGAAAGGCCAAUCAAACCGGGAGAUAGCUGGUUCUCCCCGAAAGCUAUUUAGGUAGCGCCUCGUGAACUCAUCUUCGGGGGUAGAGCACUGUUUCGGCUAGGGGGUCAUCCCGACUUACCAACCCGAUGCAAACUGCGAAUACCGAAGAAUGUUAUCACGGGAGACACACGGCGGGUGCUAACGUCCGUCGUGAAGAGGGAAACAACCCAGACCGCCAGCUAAGGUCCCAAAGUCACAGUUAAGUGGGAAACGAUGUGGGAAGGCUCAGACAGCCAGGAUGUUGGCUUAGAAGCAGCCAUCAUUUAAAGAAAGCGUAAUAGCUCACUGGUCGAGUCGGCCUGCGCGGAAGAUGUAACGGGGCUAAACUGUGCACCGAAGCUGCGGCAGCGACGCUUAUGCGUUGUUGGGUAGGGGAGCGUUCUGUAAGCCUGCGAAGGUGUCCUGUGAGGGAUGCUGGAGGUAUCAGAAGUGCGAAUGCUGACAUAAGUAACGAUAAUGCGGGUGAAAAGCCCGCUCGCCGGAAGACCAAGGGUUCCUGUCCAACGUUAAUCGGGGCAGGGUGAGUCGACCCCUAAGGCGAGGCCGAAAGGCGUAGUCGAUGGGAAACGGGUUAAUAUUCCCGUACUUGGUGUUACUGCGAAGGGGGGACGGAGAAGGCUAUGUUGGCCGGGCGACGGUUGUCCCGGUUUAAGCGUGUAGGCUGGUUUUCCAGGCAAAUCCGGAAAAUCAAG
This 946-nucleotide ribosomal RNA is filed under the name Salmonella enterica. RNAcentral describes it as "partial 23S ribosomal RNA". It matches the Rfam family "Bacterial large subunit ribosomal RNA", at positions 605 to 1554 of the family's 2925-position model. Lineage: Bacteria; Pseudomonadati; Pseudomonadota; Gammaproteobacteria; Enterobacterales; Enterobacteriaceae. The record is from RNAcentral. RNAcentral also lists the same sequence under 2 other names.